GUCAAUCAAACCCAAGGCCUCACUUGCCCUAGAAUUGAGUUCUUCAAUAAUGAAGUGGGAGAAAGAGGAAGAAAUACAAUAGCCCCCAUGGCAAUCCAGGAACAUAGCCCCUGCAGAUAAGGGGGGACUGCUGUAUUCCGGAAAGGGGCUGCCAGAAUGUCAGAGCGGUAGGGAAAAAACAGACCAACCAUGUGCCGAAAAAAUCAGAAGAAAAGAAAAUGAAGAGGACAAAUGAAGCCUAGGGCUACAAGUAUUUGAAAAUGUAAAAAAUGUGGCAAGUACGGACUGUGGAGGAAUUCAAGUUUAUAUACAUGGUUGGGAGCAGGAAAUGUGGAGAAUAAAAAUUUCCUGUGCCUUCUGAAAUGCAUCCCCUUUGUCUAAGAUUUUCAAGACCUGGCUUCUGCCAUCACACUUGGCUUCGGGAGAAAAGCUUGGAAGACCAUGGCUUGAAAUAUCAGAACUAUUGAGAGGGUCUUGAUAUUUUCAGCUCAUUUUCUUUGGAUGACCACCCUCCCCUCUCACGAGGCCCUUGAGAAGCAAACAGGCACUCUUUCUUUCCAUGCUGAAAUGAAGAAAUGACUGAGUGAGUAUGUAAUGACUCGUGGAAGACCACACAGCAAGUUGGAAGAAGAUUCUGGAUUAGAAGCUUACAAUUUUCAUGUCACCCCCAGGAGUGCAAAACUGGUCCACAAGCAAAGUUUUUUUUAAGACAUAGAGGCCUCAAGAUGCAUGCUGAUCCACAG
Molecule: long non-coding RNA, 743 nt
Filed under: Heterocephalus glaber (naked mole-rat)
Lineage: Eukaryota; Metazoa; Chordata; Mammalia; Rodentia; Bathyergidae
Description: lncRNA (ENSHGLG00000037316.1)
Source: RNAcentral